Dicentrarchus labrax (European seabass) is the source of this 1932-nucleotide long non-coding RNA. RefSeq lists it as uncharacterized. The record is from RefSeq and is a predicted model, not a curated record. The transcript has 2 exons. Lineage: Eukaryota; Metazoa; Chordata; Actinopteri; Moronidae.
UGAUACCGAUGGCCCAAAUUUGGGGCCCUGGCUCAUGGACUAUCGCCCGUGCACUGCAUUCCGGAAGAGCUGUAUGCUCACUACAUCUCAGUUCCAUCCGGUCUUAACCAUGAGGAGCUCUUCAGUUACCUCUCGGUUCAAGAGAGCUCCGCUGAUGUUCAGGACUCAGGUUUAAACGCCGCUAAUCAAACAUCGCAUGUCCCCUGCCGACCAUGUUCCUCAAAGAUCGAGGCGAUCUGAUCCUGGUCCCGAUACUGAAGAAUCAUUAUGUCUAUUGGAUGUGGAAUCUGCUCUGAGUGUCAUCAAUUAAUUCCCUGGAAAUCAACGCGUUUUCGUCGGCCCGUAAAAUAAACAACCAGGGCCAUCUUCUGCUACCUGUGAGACCGCUCAACCUGUCCGCUGCCUGCUGACGUCACACCCCACAGGAUUCUGGGAACUGCAGUCCCAGCUCCAACAAUGGGCUCUCGGUCCCUGAACCCCUGCAGUAGCAAUUCCUGAUUCCUUCAGGAGUCAAAUUCUAGCAGAUCCUGGUUCUGCUUAAGCUGUGUGAUCUCUGCUGAGCUGUGGCCCAACACGAACACUAUUCCUUCACUACCUAAGAUUGGCGCAGCUACAACCGCAGCUCUCCAUCUGCCCACAUCAACCAAUCUACCAAGGCUAUGUCAGGCUCCACAAGACGGAAUUUUGACCGUGCAAAAACUGAUGAGCUCCUGCUCCCCCUUAAUACAUUUAAAUAUUUGUAUCUGCUGCCUAAUCAUAUAUUUGCACAUCAGGUGGUUGCUGGGUUUAGAGUAUUUAUAUAUUUGCUAUAUGGGAAAUGUUCCUGCAUAAGGUUUGUUAAGUAUACACACAUAGCAGUUCACUAGAUAGUGUAUUCCACUGGGGCCAAGGUGCUUCCAGGGAAUAGCCACACGGCGGCUGGUGCCAAGGUCAACACAUAGAAGAUUGUUUCACUGAUAGCGUCAGGGUCCAUUCCGUGCUGUUUUGGGGGUUAAGGUAUUUGCGCAUCACUCCCCAAUAUCCCUAUGUAAGCAUAUCUGCGGAGAGUGAUUAGGUCGGAGCCUAGACGCCAAAUUCUAGAUAUGCUAUACUGCUUUUGUAAACAUUUCAAACGUGAGUUGUCUGACUGAAAUGGAGCGAAGUCUGCGAGCUAGUUCAUGCAGUCAACUCUAGCUGCGCCGCUAUACACACAUGACAUAAGCACUAACCAAGCACACCCUUUCAAUCUCGCAGUCUAUUUAAGCUGCAGAAUUUCCCAGCUCUCCCUCUGCUUUGUCAAUGCCGCUGUUGCCUUGCAUCACAUAGCUGCUGCUCUGUAAGCUAUUGCUGCCUGCUGCACUGUAAGCCCCACUACCACCCCAGCUUCCACCUGUAGGCUCCGGCUAGGGGUUAAGGUAUUUACGCAUCACUCCCCAAAGGAGGGCUCCCAAGGUGUGGUCUGUUUUGUUAGAGUCACAACUAAAUAAGCAAAUAAUAACAUUUUGUUAAAAUGUUAGAAACAGACGAAAAAUGUGGCUUUAAAUAAUCAGCAAAGUAAAGACAGGAUGUAACACUCUAGUAUCUCUGGCUGUAAGACAGCCGGAUCCAGUGUCACGAAGAAGGAAAAACACUCUGGACAGGCUGUUUGGAUAUAUGAGCUGGUGGUUUCCUCAAAAAACAGGAGAAACCAGACAUUCCCCCUAAAGGAGCCGUAAGUCCUCCUCAAGUCCGCAGGUGUUGUGUGUUUGAUUUGAAGUCCUCCAGCUCAGUCACUUGUUCAAAAAGGCCGGAGCCUAGACGCCAAAAUCUAAAUAUACUAUACUGCUUUAAUAAACAUUUCAAACGUAAGUUGUCUGACUGAAAUACAAUUACGAAAAAAUAUUUUCAUAAUUUUAUUACAUGAAAAAUGUGUAACUGUAAAUAAUGAUAAAAUUACUGCUGAUUUAAAAAAGA